Molecule: small nucleolar RNA, 144 nt
Organism: Hypomesus transpacificus
Lineage: Eukaryota; Metazoa; Chordata; Actinopteri; Osmeriformes; Osmeridae
Source: RefSeq, a predicted model, not a curated record
AAAGCACUCUAUUAAAACUUGGCACCAAGGUCAGUUGGUGUUCAAGUGUCGGAAGUGUGCCAUAGUGACCUGGCCGGGUUUUCGCUAACACCAUGAGGGCCCAUGCCCCAUGACUGGCGUUUGAUAGUGACCUGAGCCACAAGA